UACGUAGGUGGCAAGCGUUGUCCGGAUUUAUUGGGUUUAAAGGGUGCGUAGGCGGUCUUGUAAGUCAGUUCUGAAAUAUCCCGGCUUAACCGGGAGGGUGGGAUUGAUACUGCAGGACUUGAGUGGAGUCGAGGUAGGCGGAAUUGACGGUGUAGCGGUGAAAUGCUUAGAUAUCGUCAAGAACACCGAUAGUGUAGACAGCUUACUAGGCUCAAACUGACGCUGAGGCACGAAAGUGUGGGGAUCAAACAGG
Molecule: ribosomal RNA, 253 nt
Filed under: uncultured prokaryote
Description: partial 16S ribosomal RNA
Rfam family: Bacterial small subunit ribosomal RNA
Source: RNAcentral